GUAGAACAUCAAAGGGCAACAGCUCCAGAGUGAACCCCUGAAUGUACCCAGCACUAGCUACUGUGGCUACUCUAAUGGCUCCAACAAAUGAAGCUAAACAUUGAGAGCAUUUGCAGAGUGUGACAAGUGUGGAUGGUAGUGGAGUGUCACAUACCCAGAGCUGGUGACGAGGGAGCUGAAGUGGGAGUGCGUCAAGACGACGUUUGUGGCAGCACACUCUGUAGCACAGCCUGCGUCGGCUCACUUGCUAGGCAACCUCUGAAUGCUGCCUUUCUCAAGUGUUUGGGAGGAGUUAUACCAUGAAAACGACAGUGGAGCCUGCUCUGCUCUCUUGUUCCAUGGAAGAGUAUUGUCCAAGAAAUACUUACAUUGCUGGUCAAUGGAGACAAACAACUGCUGGGUCACUUUGUUCUGGUACAAGAACUGAGAAAGACCACUUCUCAGUCAAGUCUCAAACUGCCUCCAAGCCCUUGUGACAUGGGAGAGAACUGGACUCAGGUUCUGGAUCUACCUGUUUUAAGUGUAAAAAUCCAAUUUUCAUCCAAACAGAAGUCGGUCUAAGAGCCAUGAACAUUGAGCUGAGUUUCAAGACAAGCAAACAUGGGGGAAGGCACAAAACCAAGCCUCAAUAUAUCCUAUGGCUAGUUACUCACACAGCUGUAGAAAAGAAACCCAUGGCUCUGCAUUCUCCUCAGUCUGCCCCUCAGGCUGCAUAAGAAUCCUCUAAUUGUUCUGUCUCCUUCAGUAGAGCUGAGGACUAGUACUGUUCAUCUUAGACUGAACUCACAGACAAGCUUCCAAGCUUUCAAAAUAAUACUUGCAGCAACUGCAAAAAUGCAUUGAUAGUAGGUGUUUCUGUAGUUAUGUUAAAUUUUUGGUGUUCUUUAUUAACUUCAGAAUAACAACAUUGUCAGUCAUUCCAGGAUAUUUUCUUUGUAAAUCGUAUCCAGCUCUAAACUAAUAUGUCCUGAUAAUUACACCACUUCCAUGAAAAAUCUCAAAGCUUUAUCUCCAUGAAAAAUAAGACAUUACAUUCCAGUCAUUAAACACAUCUCUUUGCUUUUAUAGUUUUAACAUAGCUGAUGUGUGACUCAGAAAACAGAUACAUGAUUUGGUUUUGCUGUCAUCAAUUUCUCUAGCACAUGAACAAUAGUAUUUCAGCCCACUCCUAUGCUGCUAAGAAAAUUUCUGCCACUUAGGGCAAGUAGUAUGAUAUGAAUCUCCUUUCCCCUAUAUUUUUCAGAGCUGCAGGUACUUGUUUUACUUUGCCAUUAGCAAGUUUCACUUCAGAAACUGUAGCUAUCGAUUCAGUUUCUAUUAGCAAUAUAUGAGCCUGGCUGGCACAAGAGGUGCUUAGAUCCAUUGUGUAGUAAGAGUUGAGAUUCUUGGGCUGAUGUGACCUCAAAGAAGCAAGAUAGAUAGAUCUGAACCUUUUGCACCACAGCAGUUCAUUCCUCACACCACAAGCUGUGGCACAAGCUGCAUAGUCAGCAUGAUGCCACAGGGAAUAUUACCUUUCCAUCAGAACCCCAGUAUUUGUCUUGUGGUGUAUCCUCUCAGACACAGCUGCUGCAUUUCACUUGUUUCCCUGGAACUUUCUUCUUCCAGAAAAAAUUCAGGUUCCUUCUGCUCUUACUGACAGAUGGGAUGUUCAAUUUUCUAGUAUUAUCAAGCGUAUAAUCUCAGUGGCAAAAUUUCUCAUUGAUUUAAAUGCACUUCAGUAUGACUAACUCUUCUAUUGGAAUGUCUUUCAGAAUUCCAGGUGUCCAGUUACAGAUGGGAAAUUUUCCUGGAAAGGUUUUCUUAACUUCUCAUGAAAAUUAUAAGCUAAAGUUUGAGAUUCUGGAGUAAAGCCUAUCAAAGUAGAAAAAAACCCCAAAGUACCAUCAACAUUCAGAAGGCUCUAGAUCUGACCUAUUAAAAUAGACCAGCCAGAUAUGUCUUUUCAUUUCAGUGAUGAAAUGAACUAUUUAUAUUUGAGCUCAGAAAUUUCAGGUGGGGUGAACAAAGAUUUCUAUCAGAUCUUCAUAGUUCAUAUUCUUAUUUUUGAAGGACUCAUAUGGAUUUACAACAGAACAACUAAGAUUCUUAUGCAUGAAGACUGAUUGAAAAUGUAUAUGUAUAAAAAUAUCAGAAGAAAGAAUUCAAUCAGAAGAAUGACAAGAAUUGUUUACCAAGGAAACAGCUGUUUUAACUAAAAUCUGAAAAGUGUGUAUUUGCAUCAGGAUAAGAAAGCUGUUGCUCUGAUAAGGCCACAGUAGAGAUGACUUCUCAGCAGAAAGCUUGUGCUAUGAUAACAGGAGAAAGGCAACAAGCUACAACUCUGUGUGCUGUUUCUUCCCCUACCUGUUAUCCCAAGAGGAAUUUGGUCUAAGAUUUGUGGAAAAUGAAGCAAAAACAUAUCUUGAGGUAAAAGGUCAUGAUACCUAGUGUUGCUCCAGCUGUGUAUGAAAUAACCCUGGGUGAUGAUGCUUCCAGACUUAUUCCUUGGGGAAACCAAGCAGUAUUUAAUAAGCCUGUCUUUAUGAGGAAUUUUUCCUUCUUACUAGCCUAGAGUCCCCUGAAAUCAAACACAGUGUCCACAUCAUCAUAUUUAAAAAUCAGUAAGACUUUCAUUGAGGGAAAAAGCCCCAUAGAAACCCUUUGCAUUCAUUCUCAUAGGUAAACAUCUCCUGAUUUUAUACGGAUCUGAAAUUUGGACCAGAAUUUUGUUUAGCAAAUAAUUAUUUUAUGGAAGAUUCUUUAAACUUGUUUGCUCUGAACAUGACUGUCUGUGCAGCCACCAUAGGUCACUCGGUGGCUUGUGGGGAAGAUGUUUAAUUUUGCACAGAAAAAGUGUUCCAUUUUCUCUCCCAAAGGUGAAGUGAUGACUCUGUCUGCAAGACUGGAUGCUCAUUUUCAACAACAAUUUCUUUAAGGAAUAAGUAGUCAUUCAGUUGAGUGUCUUUUAAUGUUGUUAAUCCAGUUAAGUGCUUGUGCAAAGGAGCUAACAAUAAUGGCUAACCCAUCUGAAAGUCACCCAUAAUUGUCAGGAUCUGGCAAAAGGCUGCCUCAAACACACCGGCUCAUACCCUGCAGCUGACAUGUCUUCUUCCCUUGAAGCUCCCUUUCUGCACUUCUUUCUGUCUUGGUUUAUUUUGUCAUGUCAAGUAAUGUCAUAGCUGUGACAAUCUUGUUUCCAAAGUCUUUAGUACUCAUUCCUGACCAGUUUAUCUCAGAAAAACUCUUUUAUUCCCUUUCAGUAAUUUAUAAACUAUAGCUGGUGUCUUCAUAAGAUGGUUUUUCACAGCAUUUAAGUUUUAAAUUAUGUUAUUAUGGCCAUAAGCUAUAAGACAAAGGAUCACGUAGUGGGAACGAUUUUCUGACAUGAAAAUCAGUUUUUGCAUAAUUCAAAUGUUCUGGAGAAAAAGAUGAAUAAAAAAUUUUGUUCUGGCUCUGCUCAUCACCAAAUAUAUUUAUUACUGUAAUGUAAAAGUAAAUGAAGUAAUUAUUUUAAUGUGUAAAUGUAUAUUUUAUUGUGAAAUAUUUUAACUUUAUUCAGUGGGCCUAAAUUGAAUCAUUUCAACAGAACUUUGAAUUGCACUUUUUAUUGUCUUUUGACUGCUGUCUCCUAUUGGACCCAUGACUGCUGGAAAUCAUACAUGCUGUAUAAAUGUAUACAUGGGCCCUUUAA
This is a long non-coding RNA of Serinus canaria (Common canary), 3673 nucleotides long. RefSeq lists it as uncharacterized. The transcript has 4 exons. Lineage: Eukaryota; Metazoa; Chordata; Aves; Passeriformes; Fringillidae. The record is from RefSeq and is a predicted model, not a curated record.